UACCAGCACCCCGAGUGGUCGGGACGAUUAUUGGGCCUAAAGCAUCCGUAGCCGGUCAUGCAAGUCUUCCGUUAAAUCCAGCCGCUCCAACGGUUGGGCUGCGGAGGAUACUACGUGGCUAGGAGGCGGGAGAGGCAAGCGGUACUCAGUGGGUAGGGGUAAAAUCCUUUGAUCCAUUGAAGACCACCAGUGGCGAAGGCGGCUUGCCAGAACGCGCUCGACGGUGAGGGAUGAAAGCUGGGGGAGCAACCGG
This 253-nucleotide ribosomal RNA is filed under the name uncultured bacterium. Its description in RNAcentral is "partial 16S ribosomal RNA". It matches the Rfam family "Archaeal small subunit ribosomal RNA", at positions 474 to 726 of the family's 1478-position model. The record is from RNAcentral.